GAGAACUUAAGUUGCCACUGCCACGUCCAGGCCACUAUGGCGCUUGGGCCGCCCAGGAGCUCUAGGCCAAUUUGGCAGAGAUCAGAGCUCCAAUCCAGGGGAGUCUCGAGGAGCUGGUGGAGUGGCUGCAGACCUACACCUGCCAGACCACAUCGUGCUGAAUCAGCCUGUUUUGAGAGGGGAGGUCGGGGACAAAGCCGUUGUCUGGAAUUCCCAUGCCACCACCACCCAUGGGACUCCCCCCUCUACAGCCUCCUCCACCACCCCCACCACCUCCACCAGGCCUUGGCCUUGGCUUUCCCAUGGCUCACCCACCAAAUUUGGGGCCCCCACCUCCUCUCUGUGUGGGUGAGUCUGUGGAACUAUCAGAGGAGGAACAGCUGAAGCUGGCACAGACAGCAACAGGCAGCUUCACUGAUGCAAGAGGAACGUGCCAAACAGGCAGCUGUUACUGCAGCAGGAGCAACAGCAGGGGAUUGCCAAGAUGGGCACGCCAGUCCCACGACCUCCACAAGACAUGGGUCAGGUUGGUUUUCACACUUCUCUGGGACCUCGAGUUGCCGCUCCAGUAGUCCCUGUGGGCCUCACUUCUACUGUCCUGCCAAUGGGGACCCUGUUCCUCGGCCUCUGGGUCCCCCCGCCGGGCCCUGGAGAUGAGAACAGAGAAAUGGAUGAUCCCUCUGUAGGUCUCAAGACCGGGCAGGCAUUGGAAAAGAUUUUGCAGCUGAAGAACAGAGGUCAGAAAGAGAUGAACUCUCAGCAGGAGGAAGAGGGAGAUCCAUGUGACAGCACAAGACCCUAAGCUCUUAAUUCACCUCAAGGCCUCUCGGAACUGUGUUCCUGUGCCAUGCCACUGGUGUUUCAAGCACAAGUACCUGCUUCGAGCUGCCAGACUUUAUCAAAUGCACAGGCAUUCAGGAGAUGUGGGAGGCCCUCCAGGAGAAGGAAGAAAAGACCAUGAAGUCCAAAAUUCGAGAGAAGGUUCGGCCCAAGAUGGGGAAGACCGAUGUUGACUACCAGAAACUGCAUGACGCCUUCUUCAAGUGGUGUCAAGAGGCUGACCAUCCAUGGGGACCUAUGAGGGGAAGGAGUUUGAGACAAGACUGAAGGAGGAAAAGCUGGGAGACCAACUGAUGAGCUGCGGAUUUCCUUGGGGAUGCCAGUAGGACCAAAUGCCCACAAGGUCCCUCCCCCAUGGCCGAUUGCCAUGCAGCGAUAUGGACCACCCCCAUCUUACCCCAACCUGAAAAUCCCUGGGCUGAAUUUGCCUAUCCCGGAGAGCUGUUCCUUGGAUCCCACGCUGGUGGCUGGGGCAAACCCCAGUAGAUGAGACUGGUAAACCACUUUAUGGCAACGCGUUUGGAACCAAUGCUGCUGAAUUUCAGACCAAAACUGAAGAAGAAGAGAUUGACCAGACCCCUUGGGGGGAACUGGAGCCACCUGACGAAGAGUCCUCAGAAGAAGAGAAGAGGAGGAAAGUGAUGAAGACAAGCCAGAUGAGACGGCUUCAUCACACCUGCAGAUGAUGACCUCAUCACCCCUGGCAGCUUCUCAUCAGUGCCAGCUGGAAUGGAGACCCCAGAACUCAUUGAGCUGAGGAAGAGAAAGAUCGGGGAAGCGAUGGAUGGAAGUGAGACACCUCAGCUGUUCACUGUGCUGCCAGAGAAGAGAACAGCCACUGUUGGAGGAGCCACAUUUAUGAUAUGUCCACAGUCAUGAGGCGGAAGGGCCCAGCCCCUGAGCUGCAAGGUGUGGAAGUGGCGCUGGCACCUGAGGAAUUGGAGCUGAACCCCAUGGUCAUGACCCAGAAGUAUGAGGAGCGCAUGCAGGAGCAACAGGCACAAGUGGAAAAGGAAGACUUCAGUGACAUGGUGGCGGAGCAUGCUGCUAGACAGAAGCAGGAGAAACAGAAAGCUUAGCCCAGGACAGACUCCUGGGGGCAGCAAGAAAUGCAAGGAUUUCAAACUCUAG
Molecule: RNA transcript, 1971 nt
Organism: Nannospalax galili (Upper Galilee mountains blind mole rat)
Lineage: Eukaryota; Metazoa; Chordata; Mammalia; Rodentia; Spalacidae
Gene name: splicing factor 3B subunit 2 pseudogene
Exons: 1
Source: RefSeq, a predicted model, not a curated record